CCCGCGGUAAUACGGAGGGGUGCGAGCGUUAAUCGGAAUUACUGGGCGUAAAGCGCAUGCAGGUGGAUGAUUAAGUCAGAUGUGAAAAGCCCGGGGCUCAACCUCGGAAUUGCAUUUGAACUGGUCAUCUAGAGUACUGUAGAGGGGGGUAGAAUUUCAGGUGUAGCGGUGAAAUGCGUAGAGAUCUGAAGGAAUACCGGUGGCGAAGGCGGCCCCCUGGACAGAUACUGACACUCAGAUGCGAAAGCGUGGGGAGCAAACAGGAUUAGAUACCCUGGUAGUCCACGCCGUAAACGAUGUCUACUUGGAGGUUGUGGCCUUGAGCCGUGGCUUUCGGAGCUAACGCGUUAAGUAGACCGCCUGGGGAGUACGGUCGCAAGAUUAAAACUCAAAUGAAUUGACGGGGGCCCGCACAAGCGGUGGAGCAUGUGGUUUAAUUCGAUGCAACGCGAAGAACCUUACCUACUCUUGACAUCCAGAGAACUUUCCAGAGAUGGAUUGGUGCCUUCGGGAACUCUGAGACAGGUGCUGCAUGGCUGUCGUCAGCUCGUGUUGUGAAAUGUUGGGUUAAGUCCCGCAACGAGCGCAACCCUUAUCCUUGUUUGCCAGCGAGUAAUGUCGGGAACUCCAGGGAGACUGCCGGUGAUAAACCGGAGGAAGGUGGGGACGACGUCAAGUCAUCAUGGCCCUUACGAGUAGGGCUACACACGUGCUACAAUGGCGCAUACAGAGGGCAGCAAGCUAGCGAUAGUGAGCGAAUCCCAAAAAGUGCGUCGUAGUCCGGAUUGGAGUCUGCAACUCGACUCCAUGAAGUCGGAAUCGCUAGUAAUCGUGGAUCAGAAUGCCACGGUGAAUACGUUCCCGGGCCUUGUACACACCGCCCGUCACACCAUGGGAGUGGGCUGCAAAAGAAGUAGGUAGUUUAACCUUCGGGAGAACGCUUACCACU
This 949-nucleotide ribosomal RNA is filed under the name Vibrio sp. VibC-Oc-071. RNAcentral's name for it is "bacterial SSU rRNA". It matches the Rfam family "Bacterial small subunit ribosomal RNA", at positions 514 to 1461 of the family's 1533-position model. Lineage: Bacteria; Pseudomonadati; Pseudomonadota; Gammaproteobacteria; Vibrionales; Vibrionaceae. The record is from RNAcentral.